UAAAGCAUCGACGAAAUCUUCAUUUCCAGACUCACCGUUACAUUUCUUACCUUUUGCUCGAUUCUCUAUAUGAUCAUUAAUGAUUUUCUCCAACAUUUCAUCAAUCUUUGAGUGUGCCUUUGACAAUUUAGAUUUCAUUCCACUAACAUUAUGGAGCCACUUUUGGGAAGGGAACAAAUCACUUAAGUCGAAUCCUCCAAUCAAUGAAUAAA
RNAcentral lists this unclassified non-coding RNA (212 nucleotides) under Hevea brasiliensis (rubber tree). Lineage: Eukaryota; Viridiplantae; Streptophyta; Magnoliopsida; Malpighiales; Euphorbiaceae. The record is from RNAcentral.